AAAAAAAAUUUUUUAAAGGAAAGAAUUUGAUUAGAGACAUUGAGACACAGGAAAAUGGAAAAGACAGAAAACAGUGAUGAACAGUGAACACAACAUAGGUAAGUCUUCUUCCAAAGACCAGAAGUUCAAGAUUCUUUCAGCUCACUCACAACUGUCCAGAGAAAGAAGAGGACAUUGUUGUGAGCUGCUAAAAGUUCCUUUAACUUGGGCAGAUGCUGAAGACAGAGCCAAAAGUUCACAAGAAGGUUGGAGGGAUGAGAUCUUCUAGAACUGGGGGCAGAGGUAGCAAUAACAGGUAAUAUAUCCUGUCCCCCUUGAGAACGUCUUCUCCAUCGGGGUCAGAAUCAAUGAGAGCAGAGAAGAGAAAUGCAACUUAAAAGUAUGUACAUGAGUCCCUCUCCCUCUCUCUUUCUCUCUCCCCCUCAGUAUCUGGACUGCGAUGUUACCAGACAGGUAUGGCAUGAGGUGUGGCAUAUGGCCAAUAACUCUGCUCUGAUUCUGCCUUCCAAUUGUUUCUACCCUCAUUGACAUGGAAACCGUGAUGGAGACAUCAAAGGCUGAAUUACACAACCGGUUAUUUAAUUACCUUUGUGAUGAUGCCAGAGAAAUUGAGGGUCAGGGGGUUCACAGAACUGGGACUCUGACCUAAUCUCAGGGGUCAGGUGAGGUUUCCCUGAGAACAUUCAAGAACUCUGAGCUAGAAACAGGAAUGGAACAGGCAGGGUGCCUCGGAUGGAGGGUGAGCCUGUGCAGAGACUGUACUAAAGCAGAUGGCCCUCCCCACUGUGUGCGGGCACCCCGGAUCCCUUAAGGGCCUGACUAGAACAAAAAUGUGGAAGAAGGUUGAAUUCACUCUCUGCCUGACUGCUUGAGCUGAAACAUCAACCUUUUCCUGCCUCAGUGCUCCUGGUUCUCAGGCCUUCACAUCUGGACUGGAACAUCCACUCUUGGCUCUCUGAUCCUCAUUUAGACUGCAUGACCAGCUUUCCCAGGUCUCCAGCUUGCAGAUGGCAGAUUGUGGGACUCAGCUGUCUCCAUAACACGUGAGCUGGUAUCUUAUGAUAAAGCUCUUUCUUAGCUUUUUUAUUAUAAGCUAAUACCUUAUGAUAAAUCUCUAUGUAUCUAGAAAGAUAUAUAUAAAAAUCCAAUUGGUUCUGUUUCUCUGGAGAAUGCUGAUUAAUACAGAUUUCUACCUCAGUCAGAAUACCAUAGGCUGGAUGGCUUAAACAAUAAAAAUUUAUUUCACACAGUUUUGGAGGCUGGU
This 1264-nucleotide long non-coding RNA is filed under the name Vulpes vulpes (red fox). Its description in RNAcentral is "lncRNA (ENSVVUG00000011994.1)". The record is from RNAcentral. Lineage: Eukaryota; Metazoa; Chordata; Mammalia; Carnivora; Canidae.